GAUGAACGCUUGCGGCGUGCUUAACACAUGCAAGUCGAACGAUGAAGCUCAUCUUGCUGGGUGGUUUAUUGUCGAACGGGUGAUUAACACGUGAUUAACCUGCCCUUAACUCUGUGAUAAACCUUGGAAACUAGGUUUAAUACAGGAUAGGAGCGCCUACCGCUUGGUGGGUGUUGGUGCGAUUUAUCGGUUUUGGAUGUACUCGCGGCCUAUCACCUUGUUGGUGAGGUAAUGGCUCACCAAGGCGACGACGGGUAGCCGGCCUGAGAGGGUGACCGGCAACACUGGGACUGAGAAACGGCCCAGACUCCUACGGGAGGCAGCAGUGGGGAAUAUUGCACAAUGGGCGAAAGCAUGAUGCAGCGACGCAGCGUGAGGGAUGAAGGCCUUCGGGGUGUAAACCUCUUGCAGUAGGGAAGAAGCGAAAGUGACGGUACCUGCAGAAGAAGCACGGGCUAACUACGUG
This 466-nucleotide ribosomal RNA is filed under the name uncultured bacterium. RNAcentral describes it as "partial 16S ribosomal RNA". It matches the Rfam family "Bacterial small subunit ribosomal RNA", at positions 28 to 507 of the family's 1533-position model. The record is from RNAcentral.